AACGAACGCUGGCGGCAUGCCUAACACAUGCAAGUCGAACGAGACCUUCGGGUCUAGUUGCGCACGGUUUCGUAACGCGUUGGAACCUGCCCUUAGGUUCGGAAUAACUCCCCGUAAGGUGUGCUAAUACCGGUUAAUGUCUUCGGACCAAAGAUUUAUCGCCUUUGGUUGGGCCCGCGUUUGAUUAGAUUGUUGGUAGGGUAAAAGCCUACCAAGGCGACGAUCCAUAGCUGGUCUGAGAGGAUGAUAAGCCACACUGGGACUGAGACACGGCACAGACUAGUACGGGAGGGAGCAGAGGGGAAUAGUGGAAAAUGGGCGAAAGCAUGAAAAAGCAAUGACGCGAGAGUGAUGAAGGGAUUAGGGAAGUAAAGCAAAAUUAACCGGGAUGAUAAUGACAGUAACGGGAGAAUAAGCACCGGCUAACUACGUG
This 433-nucleotide ribosomal RNA is filed under the name uncultured bacterium. RNAcentral's name for it is "partial 16S ribosomal RNA". It matches the Rfam family "Bacterial small subunit ribosomal RNA", at positions 29 to 507 of the family's 1533-position model. The record is from RNAcentral.